This 3015-nucleotide long non-coding RNA is filed under the name Sus scrofa (pig). RNAcentral describes it as "lncRNA (ENSSSCG00040056069.1)". The record is from RNAcentral. Lineage: Eukaryota; Metazoa; Chordata; Mammalia; Artiodactyla; Suidae.
GCCGCCUCCUCCUCCCCUCCCCCCUUGGGCCCUUCUCGCUUUUAGGCCCCAAAUCCCCGCCCAACUCCAGGACCAGCCCAUUCAUCUCCCAACACUAGUUGGCCCCGCGCUCGCUCAAACCACCGCCGGUGCGCCCCCAAACUCCUUGUUCUGAGCCUCCCCCACCCCGCCCCAUUUCCGCAUAGUUCGUGCUCCCGGCACCCCGCGCGCGCCUCGGGUACCUCCUUGGCCCGCGGGAACCGAAGCCCGGAGACUCCGCCCGUCCUAGGCCCCGCCCUAAAGCCCCACCCUGGCACGUGCCCGCGCGGGACCGAUAGCCUCUCAGAGCUCCCAAGGUGACCCCUUGGAAGUCAGUCCCUGGCCUUACUAUCAACCCCUGGGAUCUGCCUUUGAAGGAUUGGGAGGGGGGGUUCGCGGCGUUCUGAGAAGUUCAGAAGCGAUGCAGGCCCGGAAGCGGAAGCAGAGGGUUGAAGAAGGCCGGACGUCGGGGCAGCGAGGACCACAGAGAUCGAGCCCACGCCCACCUCCUUCCCUCCCGGCGGGCACACUUGGGAGUGGGACUAGACGCUCGGUCUGGGUCGGGAGGGCUCGGAGCCUGAAUCUGAGCAAGGGCUGUCCCAGUACCCGCCAGUUAGGUUCCAGGAAUGGGAUUGAGGUUGCCGUGGUGGCGUUGGAGUGGUCACCAGGCCUUCAUCCAGUCGCUGUCAAUCCUGCUCAGCUGUCUGGGACUCUUGUGGACACCCAGCAUCCGCCAGCAUCCUGCUUACUGAAUACAAGUUGUGGAUGAAAAUGAUCCCUCUCAAAGGCAGCAAGUCCUCCAACAAUCAACCAGCUUUUCCUAAGCAUCUACUAUGUGAGAGAUUAAUAAAGAUGAAUAAUUAAGUAGGGAAAGCCCUCUCAUGUUCAUAGUUCUCCAUUCUCAUGAAAAUAACGUAACUUUUGGAGUUCCCUUGUGGUGCAGUGGGUUAAGUAUCUGGCGUUGUCACUGCAGCAGCCUGUGUCGCUGCUGUGUUGUGGGUUCCAUCCCUGGCCUGGGAACUUGCAGUUCACUAAGGGUAAAGCACUAUCACUCCUAUCCAGCAGAUGAGGAAAUUUAGUUUCAGUGGGUUAAGUAACUUUCCCAAAAUCACACAGCUCUAAGGAUGGAAUNUUAUUUUUUUAGGACCACACCUGUGGCAUAUGGAAUUUCCCAGGCUAGGGGUGGAAUCUAAGCUGCAGCUGCCAGCCUAUUGCCACAGCAACACCAGAUGCGAGCCACAUCUAUGACCUACACUGCAGCUUUCAGCAAUGCAGGAUCCUUAACCCACUGAGUGAGGCCAGGGAUCAAAUCUUCAUCCUCAUGGGUACUGGUCGGGUUCUUAACCUGCUGAGACACAACUGGAACUCCUUGAUAGACUUUUUUUAAAGAAGUUUUUUUUUGUUUGUUUGUUUUUUGUCUUUUCUAGGGCCGUACCAGUGGCAUUAAAGAGCAUUUUUUUUUUUUAAGUUCACAGCAAAAUUGAGCAAAGAUGCAGCAUUUCCAUAUGCCUCCUGGUCCAGCAUACAGCUUGUCAACAUCACACACCAGAGUGGUGCAUUUGUUUGGAUAUAUCAUUAGCACCCAAAGUCCAAACUUUAUAUUUGAUCUUUUUUUGGGGGGGGCGUGUCUUUUUGCCUUUUCUUGAACCACUCCCUCGGCAUAUGGAGAUUCCCAGGCUAGGGGUCUAAUCAGACCUGUAGCCACUGGCCUGCACCACAGCCACAGCAAUGUCAGAUCCAAGUCGCGUCUGUGACCCACACCACAGCUCCAGAUCCUUUACUCACUGAGCAAGGCCAGGGAUCGAACCUGCAAUCUCAUGGUUCUUAGUCAGAUUUGUUAACCACUGCGCCACGACGGGAACUCCCAACUUUUACGUUUGAUAAGCCUUGGCUUUUAACCACUAGGCCACUCUCCUGAAGGGAGAUUCAACUGGGACUUUGAAGGAUGUGUAGAAUUUUCAAAGCAGGGGAGGUGGGAAGGACAUUUCAGGCAGGAGAGUUGUAGAGAGCAAGAUGUGGAAGGAUUUUCAGGGUACUUGGCCAGUUUGACUUGAGCAAGAGUCCCCAAAUUUUAGUCAAUUAAAUAUCAACCUCACGACAUUUUUCCUAAGAAAUAAUAGCCAUGAAUCAUGGGUUUAAUAUGCAAGUUUUAUUUUUUGAAUACCAGUUGAAAUAAAUAUAUCAACCUUUGAAAAAUAUUUGGUCAAUGCCACUAAAAUGAUCCCUAGAGCCCCCAGUGCUAGCCAUGUUUCAUUCUGGAAAUUGCUACCAUAGAGAAUUAUUGGAGGUACCCUGGGGAGGUAGGAAGAGACUAUUGUUUGUUAAGCAAGAGUCACCUAUGUCCCUAGAAAGUGGAUUGCUGCUGUUCGUAAUUCUCUGAGCCCCAGACCUACCAGCAUUUUUUUUUUUUUUUUUUGCCAUGCCCAAAGCAUGCCUGGGCCAGGGAUCGAAUCCGAGCCACAGCAGUGAUGCCCAUCUUUAACCUGCUUCCACCAGGGAAUUCCAUGAAGAGCAUUUUACUUAGAAGAAACAGUAUGUGCAAAGUUCCUCAGGCUGGAAGGAACAAUGUGUGUGGACACCUGAAAGAAGCAUGAAAGGAAGAGUCAUGGAGAGGAGUUUGCAGGGACCAGACCCUUCAUGUAGUUCCUGGAGGCCUCACAAGCCCUGUGAUCUUAAUGGUGUGCCUUAUGUGGAGCCAUUUAUUUAUUUAUUGUCUUUUUGCCUUUUCUAGGGCCAUUCCCUUGGCAUAUGGAGAUUCCCAGGGUAGGGGUCUCCUGAGGAGCCAUUUAGAGUUUCAAGUAGAGUGACUUCCAUUCAAUUACUCAGAUAACAAAUACUUUUUGAACACUUCAUGGAGAGCACUGGGGAUUUUAUAGAACAAGACUCUUAUGGUCCCUACCAUCAGGAACCUUAUAUUCCUUUAUUUAUUUAUUUAUUUAUUUUUUGGUCUUUUUGCUAUUUCUUGGGCCGCUCCUGCGGCAUAUGGAGGUUCCCAGG